AACGGCGAGUGAAGCGGCAACAGCUCAAAUUUGAAAUCUGGGUCUUUCAGGCUCCGAGUUGUAAUUUGUAGAAGAUGCUUCGGGUGUGGCUCCGGUCUAAGUUCCUUGGAACAGGACGUCAUAGAGGGUGAGAAUCCCGUAUGUGACUGGUUGCCUUCGCCCAUGUGAAGCUCUUUCGACGAGUCGAGUUGUUUGGGAAUGCAGCUCAAAAUGGGUGGUAAAUUUCAUCUAAAGCUAAAUAUUGGCCAGAGACCGAUAGCGCACAAGUAGAGUGAUCGAAAGAUGAAAAGCACUUUGGAAAGAGAGUUAAACAGUACGUGAAAUUGUUGAAAGGGAAGCGCUUGCAACCAGACUUGCACGCUGCUGAUCAUCCGGGGUUCUCCCCGGUGCACUCGGUGGUGUUCAGGCCAGCAUCGGUUUGGGUGGUUGGAUAAAGGCCUUGGGAAUGUAGCUUCUUUCGGGGAGUGUUAUAGCCCUCGGUGCAAUGCAGCCUACCCGGACCGAGGACCGCGCUUCGGCUAGGA
Molecule: ribosomal RNA, 524 nt
Filed under: Chalara holubovae
Lineage: Eukaryota; Fungi; Ascomycota; Leotiomycetes; Helotiales
Description: eukaryotic LSU rRNA
Rfam family: Eukaryotic large subunit ribosomal RNA
Source: RNAcentral